This 254-nucleotide ribosomal RNA is filed under the name uncultured bacterium. RNAcentral describes it as "partial 16S ribosomal RNA". It matches the Rfam family "Bacterial small subunit ribosomal RNA", at positions 524 to 776 of the family's 1533-position model. The record is from RNAcentral.
UACGAGUGGUGCAAGCGUUAUCCGGAAUCACUGGGCGUAAAGGGUGUGUAGGCGGUUUGAUUAGUCUUUCGUUAAAGCUCCCGGCUUAACCGGGAAAAGGCGAAAGAAACGGUCAAACUGAGAGGGUGCGAGAGGUUUGCGGAACUCAUGGUGUAGGGGUGAAAUCCGUUGAUAUCAUGGGGAACACCAAAAGCGAAGGCAGCAAACUAGCGCACACCUGACGCUGAAACACGAAAGCGUGGGUAGCGAACGGG